This 496-nucleotide ribosomal RNA is filed under the name uncultured bacterium. RNAcentral's name for it is "partial 16S ribosomal RNA". It matches the Rfam family "Bacterial small subunit ribosomal RNA", at positions 28 to 507 of the family's 1533-position model. The record is from RNAcentral.
GACGAACGCUGGCGGCGUGCCUAAUACAUGCAAGUUGAGCGCUGAAGGUUGGUACUUGUACCGACUGGAUGAGCAGCGAACGGGUGAGUAACGCGUGGGAAUCUGCCUUUGAGCGGGGGACAACCUUUGGAAACGAAUUCUAAUACCGCCUUAAAACUUUAAACCACAGUUUUAAGUUUGAAAGAUUCAAUUGCAUCACUCAAAGAUUAUCCCGCGUUGUAUUAGCUAGUUGGUGAGGUAAAGGCUCACCAAGGCGAUGAUACAUAGCCGACCUGAGAGGGUGAUCGGCCACAUUGGGACUGAGACACGGCCCAAACUCCUACGGGAGGCAGCAGUAGGGAAUCUUCGGCAAUGGACGAAAGUCUGACCGAGCAACGCCGCGUGAGUGAAGAAGGUUUUCGGAUCGUAAAACUCUGUUGGUAGAGAAGAACGUUGGUGAGAGUGGAAAGCUCAUCAAGUGACGGUAACUACCCAGAAAGGGACGGCUAACUACGUG